Lolium perenne is the source of this 427-nucleotide non-coding RNA. The record is from RefSeq and is a predicted model, not a curated record. NCBI's taxonomy places the organism in Eukaryota, Viridiplantae, Streptophyta, Magnoliopsida, Poales, Poaceae.
CUUGUAAAGUUGCAGUUCACAUGAAUGACACUCAUCCAACACUGCAAUCCUGAGUUAAUGAGAGUACUGAUGAAUGUGAAGGAAUUGAGCUGGUAUGAGGCUUGGAGUAUAUCACAGAAAGAACUGUUGCAUACUCUAACCGCAUGGUGCCUCCUCAAGCUCUAGAGAAGAGGAGCUCAUACAUUAUGCAGAAACUUCUACCUUGACAUGUUGAGAUUAUAUAAACAAUUGAUGAUGAGGAUACUUACACACAUUAAGAGAGUAAUGACUGGAUUUUGAACAUUGAUGACCUUGCAGGCCUAAAGAAGUUUUCUGAUAACGAGUAUACGUAAUCCGAAUUGCGUAAUGCUAAAAGGAAUAACAAGAUGAAGUUAGUUUUGCUGAUAAGAGACAAGACCAAUUAUGUUAUCUGUCCUGAACUCCAGAU